CAAACUGUUAUUUGAUUCCAACUUGUGGCUUCUCUCACAUGCUCACCUUCCUUUUUUUGCUAACAGAAAUAAGUUUCAGUUUUGUAUUCAGCUAAACUAAGAGGAUGUGGUUCCUGAGGAUAACAGUUCAAGCUACAGUUUGGUGUCAAAUAUUUACAAUUCUGCCUCUGCUCAGUUCAGCUUGCUCAAGUUUUUUUCAGCCAUUCACAGUAAGAGUAAUAUAACAAAUAACUAUCAUUUAAGGAAUCCUCUAUGCAUUUCAAAGUACAGUCAAAUCCAUUUUCAUUUGAUCCUCACAGAUUCCUACAGUGUACAUGUUAUCCUCCUCUUGACAGAUGAGAAAGCUGAGGACCAAAACAGACAAGUAAUUGUCAAAGAUGAUACAGAGAGAAAGAGUGGUAGCAGCUGGAAUCAGAAUCCAGGUUUCUAAUUCAGAUCUUCAAGGAAGAAGCUUGAUAACUCCUAAAUCCGGAGAAUAUCCAGAGAAUGAACUGUUGCAGAAAGAUGCCAGAAAACCCACACUACAUCAAGAAGAUCAAGAAUGAACUUUGGGUAAACAUGAGAGGAAGAAAAGUGGCAGAAAAUGAAGGAAAUCCUUCUGACUCAGGAGAGGAGAGUCAGCCCCUGCAAGAGCCCAGGUUGAGCUUAAUCCUGGUGGGAAAAACAGGAACUAGGAAAAGUGCAACUGGAAACAGAAUCCUUGGAAAGAAUGUCUUUGUGUCCAAGCUUGGGGGAAUGCCAAUGACCAGGUUCUGCCACAAAGAAGAGCCAGAGCUUGGGUAGAGAAAUAAUUGAAAUCAUUGAUACUGCUAAUAUUUUCAGCCCAGAGUGUGUUUACUGAAGGUCUAAAUCUUUAAGAAAUCACUCAAUGUUAUUGCCUCUCCUCCCCUGGGUCCCAUGUGCCCCCUGGCCACUGUUCCUUGUGAUCCAGCUGGGUUGAUACACUAAGGAGGACCAGGAUGCCAUGAAGAGAGUGAAGGAGAUCUUUGGGAAUAAUGUCAUGAAGCACACGAUCAUCAUCUUCACCUGCAAGGAAGAUCUUGGCAGUGGCUCCCUGUAGGAUUACAUCCAGUUCACAGAAAGCAAGGCCCUGAAAGAGCUGGUUGCACAAUGUGGAGUUAGGGUCUGUGUCUUUAACAACCCAGCCACAGGGAAGGAGCAGAAAGAGCAAAUGAAGGAGCUGAUGGGCAUGGUAACGAGGGUGAUACAGAAGAAUAGGGGCAUGCACUACACCAAUGAGGUGUACAGCUUAGAGGGAGAGCUCCAGUGGGCCAGCCAGGAGGUCAGGCUCAGAAAAAUUGGGGAGAAACUGGCUGAGUACAUGGAGCAGAAUAAGAGGUCUCAGGCAUCAUGGGAAAGAAUCUUCCUGAGACUCAGGUCUGUGUGAAUUAAGAAAAGACUUCCCAAAACUAUUGGGAUUCAGCUUUGCCAUCCUUAGUAUCUUCCUCCUAUGGCCACGCAUGACCAGCAGUAUUUAGAAUGACAGCUUUGUGCAUGACCAGUCUUAAAUAGCUGCUGGUUUCUACCAUCUUUAUUAGUCACCAUGGGAAAUUGAUCAUGAACAAAGCCAUCUGAACUUGAUAGCCCUAUCUCCCUCUGUAGGACUUUCUUUUUUAAAACCUUGCCUUCCAUUCUAGAAUCAGUACUGUAUAUUGGUUUCAAAACAAAAGAGUAGUAAGGGUUAGACAAUAGAGGUUAAGUGACUUGCUCAGGAUCACACAUCUAGGAAAGUGUCUGAUGUCAUAUUUUCACCCAGGACCUCUCAUCUCCAGGCCUGACUCUCCAUCUAGCUGCCUACAGUCUCAUUCAAAACUCAAUGAAAUGUUUUAAAGGAAAAAUUUAAUUAUUUUAGCACAUCACUUCCUUUAAUAAAGUUUGGUGUUUUCUUAUUUUUAAAUAAAAA
Molecule: long non-coding RNA, 1903 nt
Filed under: Monodelphis domestica (gray short-tailed opossum)
Lineage: Eukaryota; Metazoa; Chordata; Mammalia; Didelphimorphia; Didelphidae
Description: lncRNA (ENSMODG00000046546.1)
Source: RNAcentral